AAGGCGCACGGUGGAUGCCUUGGCACUAGGAGCCGACGAAGGACGUGACAAACGACGAUAUGCCUUGGGUAGCUGUAAGUAAGCGAUGAUCCAGGGAUUUCCGAAUGGGGGAACCCAACAGGUAGUACCUGUUACCCACAUCUGUUAAGGAUGUGAGGAGGAAGACGCAGUGAACUGAAACAUCUAAGUAGCUGCAGGAAGAGAAAGCAAAAGCGAUUGCCUUAGUAGCGGCGAGCGAAACGGCAGGAGGGCAAACCGAAGAGUUUACUCUUCGGGGUUGUAGGACUGCAAUGUGGACUCAAAGAUUAUAGAAGAAUGAUUUGGGAAGAUCAGCCAAAGAGAGUAAUAGCCUCGUAUUUAAAAUAGUCUUUGUACCUAGCAGUAUCCUGAGUACGGCGGGACACGUGAAAUCCCGUCGGAAUCUGGGAGGACCAUCUCCCAACCCUAAAUACUCCCUAGUGACCGAUAGUGAACCAGUACCGUGAGGGAAAGGUGAAAAGCACCCCGGGAGGGGAGUGAAAUAGAACCUGAAACCGUGUGCCUACAACAAGUUCGAGCCCGUUAAUGGGUGAGAGCGUGCCUUUUGUAGAAUGAACCGGCGAGUUACGUUAUGAUGCGAGGUUAAGUUGAAGAGACGGAGCCGUAGGGAAACCGAGUCUGAAUAGGGCGCCUUAGUAUCAUGACGUAGACCCGAAACCAUGUGACCUACCCAUGAGCAGGUUGAAGGUGCGGUAAGACGCACUGGAGGACCGAACCAGGGCACGUUGAAAAGUGCUUGGAUGACUUGUGGGUAGCGGAGAAAUUCCAAACGAACUUGGAGAUAGCUGGUUCUCUCCGAAAUAGCUUUAGGGCUAGCGUCGACAUUAGAGAUUCUUGGAGGUAGAGCACUGUUUGGGUGAGGGGUCCAUCCCGGAUUACCAAUCUCAGAUAAACUCCGAAUGCCAAUGAAUUAUGGUCGGCAGUCAGACUGCGAGUGCUAAGAUCCGUAGUCGAAAGGGAAACAGCCCAGACCACCAGCUAAGGUCCCAAAAUAAUUGUUAAGUGGAAAAGGAUGUGGGGUUGCACAGACAACUAGGAUGUUAGCUUAGAAGCAGCUAUUCAUUCAAAGGGUGCGUAAUAGCUCACUAGUCGAGUGACCCUGCGCCGAAAAUGUACCGGGGCUAAAACAAUUUACCGAAGCUGUGGAUACCUUUAUAGGUAUGGUAGGAGAGCGUUCUAUGUGUGAUGAAGGUAUACCGUGAGGAGUGCUGGAACGCAUAGAAGUGAGAAUGCCGGUAUGAGUAGCGAAAGACAGGUGAGAAUCCUGUCCACCGUAAGACUAAGGUUUCCAGGGGAAGGCUCGUCCGCCCUGGGUUAGUCGGGACCUAAGGAGAGACCGAAAGGUGUAUCCGAUGGACAACAGGUUGAUAUUCCUGUACUAGAGUAUGUAGUGAUGGAGGGACGCAGUAGGCUAACUAAAGCAGACGAUUGGAAGAGUCUGUCUAAGCAGUGAGGUGUGAAUUGAGUCAAAUGCUUAAUUCUAUAACAUUGAGCUGUGAUGGGGAGCGAAGUUUAGUAGCGAAGUUAGUGACGUCACACUGCCAAGAAAAGCUUCUAGCGUUUAAACAUACUCUACCCGUACCGCAAACCGACACAGGUAGUCGAGGCGAGUAGCCUCAGGUGAGCGAGAGAACUCUCGUUAAGGAACUCGGCAAAAUGACCCCGUAACUUCGGGAGAAGGGGUGCUGACUUAAAGUCAGCCGCAGUGAAUAGGCCCAAGCAACUGUUUAUCAAAAACACAGCUCUCUGCUAAAUCGUAAGAUGAUGUAUAGGGGGUGACGCCUGCCCGGUGCUGGAAGGUUAAGAGGAGUGCUUAGCGUAAGCGAAGGUAUGAAUUGAAGCCCCAGUAAACGGCGGCCGUAACUAUAACGGUCCUAAGGUAGCGAAAUUCCUUGUCGGGUAAGUUCCGACCCGCACGAAAGGCGUAAUGAUUUGGGCACUGUCUCAACGAGAGACUCGGUGAAAUUUUAGUACCUGUGAAGAUGCAGGUUACCCGCGACAGGACGGAAAGACCCCAUGGAGCUUUACUGCAGUUUGAUAUUGAGUGUCUGUACCACAUGUACAGGAUAGGUAGGAGUCUAAGAAAUCGGGACGCCAGUUUCGAAGGAGACGCUGUUGGGAUACUACCCUUGUGUUAUGGCCACUCUAACCCAGAUAGGUGAUCCCUAUCGGAGACAGUGUCUGACGGGCAGUUUGACUGGGGCGGUCGCCUCCUAAAAGGUAACGGAGGCGCCCAAAGGUUCCCUCAGAAUGGUUGGAAAUCAUUCGCAGAGUGUAAAGGUAUAAGGGAGCUUGACUGCGAGAGCUACAACUCGAGCAGGGACGAAAGUCGGGCUUAGUGAUCCGGUGGUUCCGUAUGGAAGGGCCAUCGCUCAACGGAUAAAAGCUACCCUGG
Molecule: ribosomal RNA, 2434 nt
Filed under: Streptococcus pneumoniae GA47368
Lineage: Bacteria; Bacillati; Bacillota; Bacilli; Lactobacillales; Streptococcaceae
Description: bacterial LSU rRNA
Rfam family: Bacterial large subunit ribosomal RNA
Source: RNAcentral